GACGAACGCUGGCGGCAUGCUUAACACAUGCAAGUCGAACGGAAAGGCCCUGCUUUUGUGGGGUGCUCGAGUGGCGAACGGGUGAGUAACACGUGAGUAACCUGCCCCUGACUUUGGGAUAACUUCAGGAAACUGGGGCUAAUACCGGAUAGGAGCUACUGCUGCAUGGUGGGGGCUGGAAAGUUUCGGCGGUUGGGGUUGGACUAGCGCCUUAUCAGCUUGUUGGUGUGGUAGUGGAUUACCAAGGCCUUGACGGGUAGCCGGCCUGAGAGGAUGACCGGCCACGUUGGAACUGAAAUACGGCCCGGACUCCUACGGGAGGCAGCGGUGGGGAAUAUUGCACAGUAGGCGGAGGCCUAGUGCAGCAACGCCACGUGCGGGGUGACAGCCUUCGGGUAGUAAACCACUUUCGCCUUUGACGAGACGUGAGUGACGGUAAUGGGUAAAGAAGCACCGGCUAACUACGUG
This 468-nucleotide ribosomal RNA is filed under the name uncultured bacterium. Its description in RNAcentral is "partial 16S ribosomal RNA". It matches the Rfam family "Bacterial small subunit ribosomal RNA", at positions 28 to 507 of the family's 1533-position model. The record is from RNAcentral.